RNAcentral lists this unclassified non-coding RNA (1027 nucleotides) under Stylophora pistillata. Its description in RNAcentral is "low-density lipoprotein receptor-related protein 4- like, transcript variant X3". The record is from RNAcentral. Lineage: Eukaryota; Metazoa; Cnidaria; Anthozoa; Scleractinia; Pocilloporidae.
ACGACGUACUUGCAAUUUCCCAUGUCUGUUGGUUUGCAGUAAGGACCACAUAUUGGCUUUGGAGUUCGGUAGCAAGACGAGUUAUGUAGUCGUUUCCAAUUUAACACAUGUUUCAGCUGUGGACUUUCAUUAUAACCUGGGCUACAUAUUCUGGAUUGAUAACGGCGAAAGAAACAUCAAGCGUUCUAAUAUGGACGGCACAAACAUAAAUGUUAUUCAUAACAAGACAGGAGUCGGUUUGGGUUUAGCAGUUGAGUGGAACUCCUUACAAUUGUAUUGGACUGAUUCAACGAAUGGUACCAUAUCGGUGUCAGACUUUCAGGGAAAUAACAAGAAAGCCCUCUGGUCCUCAAAAACUGAAAAGCCGGAUGGAAUUGUUCUCGACCCAUAUGAGGGAUUGAUGUUUUGGACUGAUUGGGGGAACCAGCCGAAAAUUGAGAGAUCAACUUUACUCGGAACUCAGCGUGUCGCAAUAGUAACGACUCGUGUUGUGAUCCCAUAUGGCAUCACCCUUGAUCGACAAAGCAAACUCAUUUUCUGGGUGGACGGUGGAAUGGACGUAAUAGAGUCCGCUGACUACAAUGGAAGCAACAGAAAACUUCUCUUUCAGCGAAGUGGAAUUUCUUUUUCUGGAGUUACUUUUACCUCGUCAUAUCUGUUCAUCAAUGGGUGGUUACAAAAUUGGGUUUGCAAAGUGGAUGCCUAUAAUGGAACAGUUGUAGAUAAUGUAACAACCAGCAGCAUUUUCUCAGAGGGAAUCGUCGCAUUUGACAGCUCGCAGCAGUUACCAGGUAAUCUGGUUGUGAUAGCUAUCCUAUCUGCAACAUUUAUUCUAAAAAUGUUAAGGGCAAAAAUAAAUAAGAAAGAUGCCAACGCAAUGGAAAUGUCAAUGAAGUAAGAAGAUGACAACGCAAUGGAACCUGGACAGGACAGGAGUUUGCUUGCUAAGCUCUUCGGUGUCCGCUGCCGACCAAUGGUAUACCUUUGGAAUGUAACUUUACUAGUACGACAGAGUUGUUAUAUGACG